This is a long non-coding RNA of Dicentrarchus labrax (European seabass), 1093 nucleotides long. RefSeq lists it as uncharacterized. The record is from RefSeq and is a predicted model, not a curated record. The transcript has 3 exons. NCBI's taxonomy places the organism in Eukaryota, Metazoa, Chordata, Actinopteri, Moronidae.
CUCUCAUCCUCAAAUGAGAAAUGAUACUGGGAUUUCCUACGAGCACAUGUUGAUUAACACGUCGAUUGAUGGUACUUCACUUGAUAUAAGCUGGAACAAGCGGCAGCAUAAAUGGAAAGAAAAACAUUUGCCAGCCUGAGAAAACGAUUUGUGUUUAUGGACGGCUGGCAGUACGGACUGAACUUGUCAAUGCUGCAGAAUAUUUUCGUGUACCCCCAGGCCCUAACGGGUGGAAGGUUAGCAGUUUUAAGCAGUUGCUGACCAACCUGUCAGAAGGAGAGAAUGACAUCCGCUCCUCACAGGCUUCCCCCUCCAGGCCCAGACUGCUCCAGCUACUGCUGUUCCCAUUGCUGCUGGAGAGAGAAGGCAGCUUUACUCAGCAUGCUGACUGGGCACAUUCCUUUAAUAGGAAAGGCUUGUCACCUACCUGAGGCCCGCCGUCCUUGUGCUCUGCCAGCCUGCGGGAGUCUUUGAGCAGCAGAACCUCAUCAUUCUUGAGGCUGUGAACGUGGAGGGACCUGAGAAGCUCACACAGCCCUCCUGACAGAGAUGACAGAGCCUGGGAAAGAAGGCAAUGACAAUGCAUUAGCUUGUAGGUCAAAUGGUAAAUUACAGGACCUAUCAAGAAAUCAUAGGAAAAUUUUUGCUACUAACGUCUAACCCCCUGGGGGGCCACAGCUCAGGUAACUGUUGGACUUUGAUAAAAGCCAGAAUUCCAUCUGUGUUUUUUCACAAAACUGUUUGCCAUUGUUUCAUCUGUACGUUGUAUGUGUAAAUAGGCUUGGUCUGCUGUGUGUGAAUUGGCCCAGAUUAGAGGGGUUAAUCUGAGCAUGUGAAUUUCAAUAUGUGUGUGUUAAUAAUGCCUAUAGAUGUGGGAGAGUGUGGUAUUGGACUAAAAAAGUGUUCUAUAACGUUACUCAAUAUACAUCAGUAAAUAGCCCUUUGUCUGUUCCACUGCAUAUGCCCCACACUGGUGCCUUGAAAUUAUGAGCAAUGUCCCGCCCACAAGAGAAUAUGAUUGACACUGACACCUUCUCAAGUAAAAGUAGAGUAAUAAUUUAAUAUCAAACAUUAAAGAUAAUGUUGAAAAGUU